RNAcentral lists this microRNA precursor (101 nucleotides) under Ovis aries (sheep). RNAcentral describes it as "miRNA (ENSOARG00000021285.1)". Lineage: Eukaryota; Metazoa; Chordata; Mammalia; Artiodactyla; Bovidae. The record is from RNAcentral.
UGGGAGCUGUGAAUAGUAAGAGAAACCCUGCUUAGGUCAAGUAUGACCUGUGCCAUAUUUGGGACACACUUAUACUAAAGAAACCUUAUUCUUUCUUUGUA